AUUAAAGCGUCUUUUGGGAUCAACCACUUCCAAGUGAAAUACUUUGAUGAGGAUAAUGAAGAG
Larimichthys crocea (large yellow croaker) is the source of this 63-nucleotide non-coding RNA. The record is from Rfam. Lineage: Eukaryota; Metazoa; Chordata; Actinopteri; Sciaenidae.